CCUCACAGAACACCGUAGCCUAGUUGCCGUGGUAUAGUACAGGCCCACCCGUAGGUAGUCAAUGUUCUUCCUCAACUGUUCAGCUGUCUUCUUGUCGUCAAAACAACGAUCCUCCAACUUGCUGCUAUGUACGGUGUACAGAUCGGAUGUGUUAUCCUUAUCUUGGUGACAAUUUCUUGCGCCUAUGAAGUAUGCUACGAGAAACAGCUUGAUGGGACUUCCCAACAAAAGACCUGCACUUACUCUUGUUGUGGAACCACGUAUGCUAAGUACUGCUGCGGCUCGUCCAGGUGAGCUUUCUGCACCACCUACCACUACGCCUACUGGUUGACCACAAGAGCCAUUAUCGGCAUCGUCAUUGGUGUCCUCUGCCUCAUCGGUCUGAUCGUCGGAGUCAUCAUCUGUUGUGUCUGCUGCUGUAAGUCAUCGCCAGGACAACGAGGUCAAGUGAUACAAAACCAACAUCAACUGACUGUAGUGUCAGGCACAACAAACGCAGCCUACACUCCUGGAUAUGGUCCGGCUCCAGUAGCAUACCCUCCGACUGCAGCAGCAUACCCCCCGGCUCCAGGGGCAUACCCGCCGGCUCCAGCCUACACUCAAGCAGCCUAUCCCCCAGAGAAGCCGGGAACGUACCUGCCCCCACAAAAUGCAGCAUACCCGCCCCCACAAGGUGGAGUGAACCCGCCCGCACAAGAAGCUGCCUGACCCCAGCAAAUGAAGUUUCCAAGCCGAUAGCCCUCGGGAACAAUACAAUACCCAAAUAUACUACCCAUCAAAAGUUUAGACUCGCUUAAAACAUUCACUAUAUGUUAUGUAUGUAUAUAUGGUUACAACGAAGAAAAAUGUCUCCACUAA
RNAcentral lists this unclassified non-coding RNA (858 nucleotides) under Haliotis rubra (blacklip abalone). RNAcentral describes it as "cysteine and tyrosine-rich protein 1-like, transcript variant X2". Lineage: Eukaryota; Metazoa; Mollusca; Gastropoda; Lepetellida; Haliotidae. The record is from RNAcentral.